GAUGAACGCUGGCGGCGUGCCUAAUACAUGCAAGUCGAGCGAACGGACGAGAAGCUUGCUUCUCUGAUGUUAGCGGCGGACGGGUGAGUAACACGUGGAUAACCUACCUAUAAGACUGGGAUAACUUCGGGAAACCGGAUCUAAUACCGGAUAAUAUUUUGAACCGCAUUGUUCAAAAGUUAAAGACGGUCUUGCUGUCACUUAUAGAUGGAUCCGCGCUGCAUUAGCUAGUUGGUAAGGUAACGGCUUACCAAGGCAACGAUGCAUAGCCGACCUGAGAGGGUGAUCGGCCAGACUGGAACUGAGACACGGUCCAGACUCCUACGGGAGGCAGCAGUAGGGAAUCUUCCGCGAUGGGCGAAAGCCUGACGGAGCAACGCGGCGUGAGUGAUGAAGGUCUUCGGAUCGUAAAACUCUGUUAUUAGGGAAGAAGAUAUGUGUAAGUAACUGUGCACAUCUUGACGGUACCUAAUCAGAAAGCCACGGCUAACUACGUG
Molecule: ribosomal RNA, 497 nt
Filed under: uncultured bacterium
Lineage: Bacteria
Description: partial 16S ribosomal RNA
Rfam family: Bacterial small subunit ribosomal RNA
Source: RNAcentral